This 494-nucleotide ribosomal RNA is filed under the name uncultured bacterium. RNAcentral's name for it is "partial 16S ribosomal RNA". It matches the Rfam family "Bacterial small subunit ribosomal RNA", at positions 28 to 507 of the family's 1533-position model. The record is from RNAcentral.
GACGAACGCUGGCGGCGUGCUUAACACAUGCAAGUCGAACGGUGAAGCGCCUUCCUUUUUGGUGGGUGUGGAUGAGUGGCGAACGGGUGAGUAACACGUGAGUAACCUGCCCCCUUCUUCUGGAUAACCGCAUGAAAGUGUGGCUAAUACGGGAUAUUCUGGGUCUGUCGCAUGAUGGGUCUGGGAAAGAUAUUGUUUCGGUGGGGGAUGGGCUCGCGGCCUAUCAGCUUGUUGGUGGGGUGAUGGCCUACCAAGGCGGUGACGGGUAGCCGGCCUGAGAGGGUGGACGGUCACACGGGGAGUGAGACACGGCCCAGACUCCUACGGGAGGCAGCAGUGGGGAAUAUUGCACAAUGGGCGCAAGCCUGAUGCAGCGACGCCGCGUGAGGGAUGGAGGCCUUCGGGUUGUGAACCUCUUUCGCCAGUGAAGCAGGCCUGCCUCGUUUGUGGGUGGGUUGACGGUAGCUGGAUAAGAAGCGCCGGCUAACUACGUG